RNAcentral lists this long non-coding RNA (3737 nucleotides) under Nicotiana tabacum (common tobacco). RNAcentral's name for it is "long non-coding RNA (NTAB_LNC017728)". Lineage: Eukaryota; Viridiplantae; Streptophyta; Magnoliopsida; Solanales; Solanaceae. The record is from RNAcentral.
AGGACUUUGACCACUUUUGAUACUCUAGUGUUGGUAAGUGGAUCCAUACCUGAAUGGGGGAAACAUGGUUAAUGACUCAAGACAUUAUGUGACACCACAACAUUUUCUAGGGGACGGUUAGGCUAUUUUUGCAAAAUGGCAUGAGGGUCGAAGGUGGCUAAAAGUGCAAUCUCAACAAAGGUGACCUCAAAGACAUGGAAAUAACUCACUAAAGCUUAUACGGAUUCAAACUCCCAAUAAUCAUAGCCCAAAAUUAAUUUGCAGAAAUGACCCAUUUUGCAAAAACGACCGAUAUGGCCAAAAGUGGCUAAAGAUGCAAACUCGAAAAAGAUGGAACUUAAAGUAAUAUGACACCUGGUUGUGGACUCAAGAUCCUAAGACAUGGGUCACGGAGGUACCUUUGCAAAAAUGGCCCCAUUUUGCGGCAAUGGCCGAUGUGGCCAAAGGUGGCUAGACAUGCAAGAUUUGGCUAAGACCCCGCGAAGUCAAGAACCUAAGACUCACUAGGAAGACCAGACCCUAUGUGAGUUGUCUACGUAUCCCACCCCGAAAGACGAGAAUCAGGUAUGCGUAGUUCGGGAAGAUCGAACAUGGAAGAAAGCUUUAAAAUGAAAUACAACUAGUUUGGAAAAACUAUUUUUUGUCUUUUUGAAAAAUGUGGAAAAUGUAAAAUCUUUUUGGAUUUUCUUUUUCACUUUUUUCUUGAUUUUUGGAAAACUAUGAAAGAAAAAUGUGAGUGGGCCCUACUUGCUUCACUUUAUAUUUCAUCCUCAAAUUUCCUUGGUCCGCCAAAUGACCCUUUUACCCCUAAAGAGAUGCAGCACGUAGCACAUAAGGAUGAUUAAAUGUCUUUUUGGGCCAUAAGCCCAUUUUAACAUAAUUUGGAUAGGCCUCCUACAACGGGACACGGUGCCUGGGACCGAUCCCUGCUAGGUUUAAAUGAUAUGAUACACAUAAGCAUGACCUAAAGGCUGACCUAUGGUUGGGGUUCACUAGACAAGGCAAUUCAGGGCGACACGUGGUCGAUGUCGGCUGCUCUAAUUGUCCGCCCUUUAUGCAAAUGAUGACAAUUUAUAAAGCAGUAACACAUAAAGAAAAUAUUGUAAACAAAGAAGCAACUAGCAAAUAAAACGACAUAAGCAAAAAUAAAAAUCACAUAAAGCAAACAAAACACAUAAAAACCUCAACCGAAUAUCCUAAAAAGCCAACAAGAUCAAGUACUAGCUCGAACCUGCAACUCCCCAGCAGAGUCGCCAGAGCUGUCACACCCCUUUUUACUACUUCACUAACCCUCUUAAAAUAUAAAAGGAUUUAUAAAGCUCAAAGGGUUUUUCAAUUUGAGAGUGACAAAAGAUAUGUUUAAAAGGAUUUCUCUCAGAGUCGCCACCUAGCAUUGUUUUUUGGUGUGCCAGGUCACCAUUUUAGAAAAUAAUUUUCCUUUUAAACAAUUGGACUCAAAACUAAGUCGGCACCAGAGAUUUGGGUAAGGGGCUUCAUUUGACUCGGGGAGAAGGUGUUAGGCGCUCCCCAAGUCCCGUAACUAGUACGGUUGUGUACUCGAUCAAGUUGGCUUUUGAAAUUUCAAAUUGAGGCGAAAAACACAGAAAAAGAAAAAUAAACACACAAGCGGCUCGAGGUCGUCCACACCAAGAUUAAAUAAAAUAAGAAAAUAAUAAAAGUCUAUACUAUGCUCACUCUACUAUGUCUGUCACGGCCUUCAAUUACAUCCACUUAGGGGUAUACCCCUGAUAAAAGAACACAAAAAAUAUAUAUACAAACUCUACGGGGCAUUCCCCUGAUGAAUUAACUAACUAAAAGGGACGACCUCUCACCUCGAACGAACAAAUCCUAAAGAAUGCCUACCCAGGUGUGGUCGGCCUAAACAUGCUCCUAACGAUAAUAUGUUAAAAAUGCAAUAAAUAAAAGAGAACUAAAUAAAAUCAGGAUUCAAUUCAUGCUCAAAUUCUUUUAAUCCAUUUAAACCCAAACCCCAUGAGCCAUUUCAAGCAAUUUAUCCAAACUGUCCACACAAAUAAAGACAAGGGAAACAUCAGAAAAGUAACUAUUCAAAAGACACAUAAUAUUUGUAGCAAAUGAACGGGCUGACAUAGAAUACCAAGAAUUACUAUAGGAGGGAAAGGGAAAGAAAAACAAAAUGAAUUAAAACAUUGAUACGCACCAUAACCCUAUAUUAAUCCCAAUUCAUGUAUAUUAUCUCUUAAUUUGCUAAGAAUAGAAAAUUCCCAAAUGACAUCUAACCAGUAAUCCUGUCGUAAUUCAAGUCCAAAAAUAAGAUCAAAAAUCAAUUAUAUAAGCUAAUCAGUUUACUUUCACCAAAUGUAACUUCUAUAUAUAUGAAUUUCACUCAAAAACAAAUACCUACUAGUUUUCGGUCCACUCCUAAACUCCACACAAUUUUAGAAUGCAUUUUAAACUUAUCUGAAGCUAGCAGCAAAUAAGACCUUGGAAACGAAUUUUGUCUCACCUUUUAAACGGAAAAGAAUAGAAAAGGUACUAGUAAAAAGAGUUUUAACUUGAAGCAAGCAAUGGAACUAUUUCUUAAUCUAAGAGCAAAAAGUUAAUGAAACGGAUAACCAAAGGUGGAGUUGACAGAAUAUUCAUGGAGAUUCGAAGAAAAUAAGUUAUUUGACCUUAAUCGACCGAGAUGCUAUUUUAAUGCUAGAUUGGAGGGACCUGACAUGGACUAAGCUUAAACUAGGUGAAGUAAUUCUUCAAAUAGCAAUUUGAUCACACAAACAGUAAAGCCACGACUCAAUGGCAAACAUAAUCACAUACUUCAAUCUCUAGCACAAUAAGGAUCAAGGAAAUAUGUUAUUCAUUUCUGCAGAUUCAGAUUCAUUUAUAGUCAAAGUAUUCAACAAGAACAAUUUAACAAAUUAGAUCAAGCGCACAGAACAACAGCUCGACACAUACGAACAAAUCAAAAUAGGGACAGAGGUUGUAGAUGUGAACCUGAAGUUAAACUUUAAUUAAUAAAACUUCCUUAGUAACACAAGGAGAAAUCAAAGCAGCGGUUGUGACCAAAAUUCGUCACGACGAUCAAACUAUGAACAGAAGAAGCGAACCGAACCUCGAACGACGAACACGACUCCGACCUCAAGCAAACUGAAUGGCGGGCGAAUUUUUAGAACCCAAAAUGCUCCAAUCUAAUCCCAUGAUCAAAAAUGAAACAAAACUGAAAAUAAGUUUUUUUGUUUGUUUUGUUUUGUAUUUUUCAAAGAAGAACGAACUUCUGAAGCAAAAAUAUAUAACCCCAAGUAUAUAUUUUCUGAACUGAACUGAAAACGAAGUUCAGAACCCUGGUUUUUCUCCAAUUUUGUCCAAAGAACCCUAGAACUUCCCCCCCCCCCCUCCCCCCCUCUUUUUGUCCUGAAAUCCCAAAUAUAUAGGUAGCCUAGAAGCUUCUUCUUCCUUCCUCUCCAAGAAAAUCAAAAACCUUCUCCAAAAAGUCCCAAAAAAUUCAAAUUUUAUCCCUUUUUGUGGCAAUCAAGGACAGAUGGAUGGAGUAGAUCGAGUGUAACUCGAUCCUACGCCUCCCAUUUUUCCUUUUUUUCCCAAAAAAAAAGAUAAAAUCAAAAAAGAUGAGGAGAAAAUGUGUAUUCAUGAUUACAGACACGUGGAGGAAGGACAGGGGAGUAGAGGGGGGACCAUGGGAUGAACUCGUUGGUUUUCCAGCGAGUUGGAGGCAGGCAGAAUCGGAAUGGGGUGGGGCAUCG